AGAUUGAACGCUGGCGGCAGGCCUAACACAUGCAAGUCGAGCGGCAGCACGGGUACUUGUACCUGGUGGCGAGCGGCGGACGGGUGAGUAAUGCCUAGGAAUCUGCCUGGUAGUGGGGGAUAACGCUCGGAAACGGACGCUAAUACCGCAUACGUCCUACGGGAGAAAGCGAGGGGACCUUCGGGCCUUGCGCUAUCAGAUGAGCCUAGGUCGGAUUAGCUAGUUGGUGGGGUAAUGGCUCACCAAGGCGACGAUCCGUAACUGGUCUGAGAGGAUGAUCAGUCACACUGGAACUGAGACACGGUCCAGACU
This 312-nucleotide ribosomal RNA is filed under the name uncultured soil bacterium. Its description in RNAcentral is "bacterial SSU rRNA". It matches the Rfam family "Bacterial small subunit ribosomal RNA", at positions 26 to 337 of the family's 1533-position model. The record is from RNAcentral.